This is a long non-coding RNA of Lemur catta (Ring-tailed lemur), 222 nucleotides long. RefSeq lists it as uncharacterized. Lineage: Eukaryota; Metazoa; Chordata; Mammalia; Primates; Lemuridae. The record is from RefSeq and is a predicted model, not a curated record. The transcript has 3 exons.
GGAGCCUUGCCGCGUUCACCUGUUCUACCCACGGGAGGACCAGACCCCUACGCUCCCGAGCCAGCAGCCCGAGCAUCUAACCGCUGCUGAACCGCGUGCGGGCAAGCCACCGCGGAGGCCAGCGCUGUCCUGCGGACGGGUUGACGGUCUUCUCGUGCCCGGAGAUUCCUGUUCUCAGCUGGAAUGCUUCUAUAAAGAGAUACCUCCCCACAUCCAUUAUGU